This 385-nucleotide long non-coding RNA is filed under the name Salmo salar (Atlantic salmon). Its description in RNAcentral is "lncRNA (ENSSSAG00000083464.1)". Lineage: Eukaryota; Metazoa; Chordata; Actinopteri; Salmoniformes; Salmonidae. The record is from RNAcentral.
AGGCCCAUCCCUCCCUCCCCCCCGUGUCAUCGAGGGCCAGCAAGCGUACACGCUUACCAGCCUCUCUUUCCUCGUCCUCCUGGUUUUUGACCUUUGCCUGUCCUGACCCUGUACCCACCCGCCUGACCUCUCUGCCUGCCGUCCUGUACCUUUGCUCCACCUCUGGAUUACUGAACUCUGCCUGACCCCGAGUCCGCCUGCCGUCCUGUACUUUUGCCUUACCCUGGAUUUUCGACCCCUGCCUGCCUUGACCUGUCUUUGCCUGCCCCUGUUGCUUCAAUAAACAUUGUCACUUCAAGUCUGCAUCUGGGUCUUACCUUGAUCCCUGAUAGAUGCAGAUAUCUCUAACUUAAACUGCCUUUUUUUAUAGGGAUUUUUUUUCUUU